RNAcentral lists this small RNA (1027 nucleotides) under Pan troglodytes (chimpanzee). RNAcentral's name for it is "processed transcript". Lineage: Eukaryota; Metazoa; Chordata; Mammalia; Primates; Hominidae. The record is from RNAcentral.
AUCUUCGUUCCCUGCAGAACCUUGACAGUUGAACAAGUGACCUCCUCCAGAACAGAUGGAGAGUCUCCAGAAGCAGAGGCUUUAGUGAACGAAAUUCGCAAUAAUCAGCUCCAGAUCCUGAAAAGGAGGGCGAAGAAUCACUGGCCAAAGCUAACCGCUUCAUACCCACACUUCAUCCUCCUCAGUUUCUCUCCAGGCCACCAUGUCUGCAGGCAACGGCACCCCUUGGGAUGCCACCUGGAAUAUCACUGUUCAAUGGCUGGCUGUGGACAUCCCAUGUCGGACACUCAUGUUCCUGAAACUAAUGGCCACGUAUUCUGCAGCUUUCCUGCCUGUGGUCAUUGGAUUGGACCGCCAGGCAGCAGUACUCAACCCGCUUGGAUCCCGUUCAGGUGUAAGGAAACUUCUGGGGGCAGCUUGGGGACUUAGUUUCCUGCUUGCCUUGCCCCAGGGAUCUAGAACUAGAAAUACCAUUUGACCCAGCCAUCCCAUUACUGGGUAUAUACCCAAAGGACUAUAAAUCAUGCUGCUAUAAAGACACAUGCACACAUGUUUAUUGCGGCACUAUUCACAAUAGCAAAGACUUGGAACCAACCCAAAUGUCCAAUAAUGAUAGACUGGAUUAAGAAAAUGUGGCACAUAUACACCAUGGAAUACUAUGCAGCCAUAAAAAAAUGAUGAGUUCACGUCCUUUGUAGGGACAUGGAUGAAAUUGGAACUCAUCAUUCUCAGUAAACUAUCGCAAGGACAAAAAACCAAACACCGCAUGUUCUCACUCAUAGAUGGGAAUUGAACAAUGAGAACACAUGGACACAAGAAGGGGAACAUCACACUCUGGGGACUGUUGGGGGGUGGGGGAGGGGGGAGGGAUAGCAUUAGGAGAUAUACCUAAUGCUAAAUGACGAGUUAAUGGGUGCAGCACACCAGCAUGGCACAUGUAUACAUAUGUAACUAACCUGCACAUUGUGCACAUGUGCCCUAAAACUUAAAGUAUAAUAAUAAUAAAAGAGCCUGCCUUUUAAAAACA